Molecule: non-coding RNA, 125 nt
Organism: Hordeum vulgare subsp. vulgare (domesticated barley)
Lineage: Eukaryota; Viridiplantae; Streptophyta; Magnoliopsida; Poales; Poaceae
Source: Rfam
AUACUACUCCCUCUGUCCGAAAUUAUUUGUCGCACAAAUGGAUAAAAAUGGAUGUAUCUAAAACUAAAAUACAUUUAAAUACAUCCAUUCCAAUGACAAAUAUUUUCAAACGGAUGGAGAACUAU